CUUUUUGAAGUCUUCGGAUGGAAAGAAGAACCCCUGAUGCCGUCGAGCCAAGAAAAGUUUCUAAGUUUAGCUAAUGUUGCCCGUACCGUAAACCGACACAGGUGGGUGGGAUGAGUAUUCUAAGGCGCGUGGAAGAACUCUCUUUAAGGAACUCUGCAAAAUAGCACCGUAUCUUCGGUAUAAGGUGUGCCUCCCUUUGUAUUAGAAUUCACUUCGAAAGCAAAGAAGGUUACAACAAAGAGUCCCUCCCGACUGUUUACCAAAAACACAGCACUCUGCUAACUCGUAAGAGGAUGUAUAGGGUGUGACGCCUGCCCGGUGCUCGAAGGUUAAUUGAUGGGGUUAGCAUUAGCGAAGCUCUUGAUCGAAGCCCGAGUAAACGGCGGCCGUAACUAUAACGGUCCUAAGGUAGCGAAAUUCCUUGUCGGUUAAAUACCGACCUGCAUGAAUGGCGUAACGAGAUGGGAGCUGUCUCAAAGAGGGAUCCAGUGAAAUUGUAGUGGAGGUGAAAAUUCCUCCUACCCGCGGCAAGACGGAAAGACCCCGUGGACCUUUACUACAGCUUGACACUGCUAUUUGGAUAAGAAUGUGCAGGAUAGGUGGGAGGCUUUGAGUAUAUGACGCCAGUUGUAUAUGAGCCAUUGUUGAGAUACCACUCUUUCUUAUUUGGGUAGCUAACCAGCUUGAGUUAUCCUCAAGUGGGACAAUGUCUGGUGGGUAGUUUGACUGGGGCGGUCGCCUCCCAAAUAAUAACGGAGGCUUACAAAGGUUGGCUCAUAGCGGUUGGAAAUCGCUAGUAGAGUAUAAAGGUAUAAGCCAGCUUAACUGCAAGACAUACAAGUCAAGCAGAGACGAAAGUCGGUCUUAGUGAUCCGGUGGUUCUGUGUGGAAGGGCCAUCGCUCAAAGGAUAAAAGGUACCCCGGGGAUAACAGGCUGAUCUCCCCCAAGAGCUCACAUCGACGGGGAGGUUUGGCACCUCGAUGUCGGCUCAUCGCAUCCUGGGGCUGGAGCAGGUCCCAAGGGUAUGGCUGUUCGCCAUUUAAAGCGGUACGCGAGCUGGGUUCAGAACGUCGUGAGACAGUUCGGUCCCUAUCUGCCGUGGGCGUAAGAAGAUUGAAGAGAUUUGACCCUAGUACGAGAGGACCGGGUUGAACAAACCACUGGUGUAGCUGUUGUUCUGCCAAGAGCAUCGCAGCGUAGCUAAGUUUGGAAAGGAUAAACGCUGAAAGCAUCUAAGCGUGAAGCCAACUCUAAGAUGAAUCUUCUCUAAGCUCUCUAGAAGACUACUAGUUUGAUAGGCUGGGUGUGUAAUGGAUGAAAGUCCUUUAGCUGACCAGUACUAAUAGAGCGUUUGGCUUAUCUUAUAAAUA
RNAcentral lists this ribosomal RNA (1371 nucleotides) under Campylobacter upsaliensis. Its description in RNAcentral is "partial 23S ribosomal RNA". It matches the Rfam family "Bacterial large subunit ribosomal RNA", at positions 1563 to 2925 of the family's 2925-position model. Lineage: Bacteria; Pseudomonadati; Campylobacterota; Epsilonproteobacteria; Campylobacterales; Campylobacteraceae. The record is from RNAcentral.